GGUGUUGUGGCUCAGUGAUAGAGCACUUGCCUAGCAUGUGCAAGACAUUGGAUUCGAUCCUUGGCACCA
Molecule: transfer RNA, 69 nt
Filed under: Ictidomys tridecemlineatus (thirteen-lined ground squirrel)
Lineage: Eukaryota; Metazoa; Chordata; Mammalia; Rodentia; Sciuridae
Description: Spermophilus tridecemlineatus (thirteen-lined ground squirrel) tRNA
Rfam family: tRNA
About the family: Transfer RNA (tRNA) molecules are approximately 80 nucleotides in length. Their secondary structure includes four short double-helical elements and three loops (D, anti-codon, and T loops).
Source: Rfam by way of RNAcentral